AGUAACACGUAUCCAACCUGCCGUCUACUCUUGGACAGCCUUCUGAAAGGAAGAUUAAUACAAGAUGGCAUCAUGAGUCCGCAUGUUCACAUGAUUAAAGGUAUUCCGGUAGACGAUGGGGAUGCGUUCCAUUAGAUAGUAGGCGGGGUAACGGCCCACCUAGUCUUCGAUGGAUAGGGGUUCUGAGAGGUUGAACGGCCACAUUGGGACUGAGACACGGCCCAG
Molecule: ribosomal RNA, 225 nt
Filed under: uncultured bacterium
Lineage: Bacteria
Description: partial 16S ribosomal RNA
Rfam family: Bacterial small subunit ribosomal RNA
Source: RNAcentral